ACACAUGCAGUCGAACGGACUUACAUUGAAGCCUAGCGAUAUGUAAGUUAGUGGCGGACGGGUGAGUAACGCGUGGGUAACCUGCCUUGUACUGGGGGACAACAGUUGGAAACGACUGCUAAUACCGCAUAAGCGCACAGCUUCGCAUGAAGCAGUGUGAAAAACUCCGGUGGUACAAGAUGGACCCGCGUCUGAUUAGCUGGUUGGUGAGGUAACGGCCCACCAAGGCGACGAUCAGUAGCCGGCCUGAGAGGGUGAACGGCCACAUUGGGACUGAGACACGGCCCAAACUCCUACGGGAGGCAGCAGUGGGGAAUAUUGCACAAUGGGGGAAACCCUGAUGCAGCAACGCCGCGUGAGUGAAGAAGUAUUUCGGUAUGUAAAGCUCUAUCAGCAGGAAAGAAAAUGACGGUACCUGACUAAGAAGCCCCGGCUAACUACGUGCCAGCAGCCGCGGUAAUACGUAGGGGGCAAGCGUUAUCCGGAUUUACUGGGUGUAAAGGGAGCGUAGACGGUUUUGCAAGUCUGAAGUGAAAGCCCGGGGCUUAACCCCGGGACUGCUUUGGAAACUGUAGAACUAGAGUGCAGGAGAGGUAAGUGGAAUUCCUAGUGUAGCGGUGAAAUGCGUAGAUAUUAGGAGGAACACCAGUGGCGAAGGCGGCUUACUGGACUGUAACUGACGUUGAGGCUCGAAAGCGUGGGGAGCAAACAGGAUUAGAUACCCUGGUAGUCCACGCCGUAACGAUGAUUACUAGGUGUUGGUGGGUACGACCCAUCGGUGCCGCAGCAAACGCAAUAAGUAAUCCACCUGGGGAGUACGUUCGCAAGAAUGAAACUCAGAGGAAUUGACGGGGACCCGCACAAGCGGUGGAGCAUGUGGUUUAAUU
Molecule: ribosomal RNA, 887 nt
Filed under: uncultured bacterium
Lineage: Bacteria
Description: bacterial SSU rRNA
Rfam family: Bacterial small subunit ribosomal RNA
Source: RNAcentral